This 274-nucleotide ribosomal RNA is filed under the name uncultured bacterium. RNAcentral's name for it is "partial 16S ribosomal RNA". It matches the Rfam family "Bacterial small subunit ribosomal RNA", at positions 523 to 796 of the family's 1533-position model. The record is from RNAcentral.
AUACGAAGGGGGCAAGCGUUGUUCGGAAUAACUGGGCGUAAAGCGCACGUAGGCGGAAUGUUAAGUUAGAGGUGAAAUCCCAGGGCUCAACCCUGGAACUGCCUUUAAUACUGGCAAUCUAGAGACCGAGAGAGGUGAGUGGAAUUCCGAGUGUAGAGGUGAAAUUCGUAGAUAUUCGGAGGAACACCAGUGGCGAAGGCGGCUCACUGGCUCGGUACUGACGCUGAGGUGCGAAAGCGUGGGGAGCAAACAGAAUUAGAAACCCCAGUAGUCC